This is a long non-coding RNA of Chinchilla lanigera (long-tailed chinchilla), 1898 nucleotides long. RefSeq lists it as uncharacterized. NCBI's taxonomy places the organism in Eukaryota, Metazoa, Chordata, Mammalia, Rodentia, Chinchillidae. The record is from RefSeq and is a predicted model, not a curated record. The transcript has 3 exons.
AGCUCUAUAGCACACAGCGACUAAGCUUGUCUGGAAGAGGUUAUGAAUCCUUCAUUGGGAAGUGACCUUGAAACUGGAUCACAUAGGAUUUCCAGAGGACAGAGGAGGAAAGAUUUCUACACUAAGAUAUCAGAUAUUCAAAAGCUCACAAGCAAGACACAAACAGCAGAACAACUUUUAUUGGAUGGAGCACAGACAACAUGGUCCCAUGGUAUAGGUGAGACUGGAAAGAUGGGUGACUUCGGACAGUCACCACAAAGCGUGGGAAUGAAUAUGUAGCCUAAAAUGUAAGACAUUUUAAAACAGUAUGAGAUACACCCGAGACUUUACAAGAACUGGGCUCUACGAAAACCCAGAACGAUGUGGACACCUACUGAUGUUUCAGAGGAUGGCCUCCAGCCCUGCAGGGUCACUCCCUGGAGACCCUGACAGCAGCUGUAGUGCUCUCUGCACCAGUUACACUUGAGUGGACCUGGGGAACUUAAUUUAGCAGCAGAGUCCAUCCACGCUUUGGAAAGAACCUGACUCAUUUUCCUUGACCAUGGACAUUAAGCAAUGCUGUCACUGCGUAUAUUAUAGACACAGCUGGAUGGAUCCUGAUUGUCUUAUACAGCAAUGUUUCAUCUCACAGUAGCACAAGCAGAGGCAAGAGGAAAAACUAAGCUGCCUCCAAAGCAGUUAAUGAGAACUGUGAAGAGUUCUCCUUUACACACUCUAUGGAAACUAUAGUGACAAAGAAAUGUGGAAGAACAAAGCAUGAGAAACCGGAUCUUCUGCACCGGGAUAAGAUAGAGUGAUGGAGUGAACCGGGCAUUAGUCUCCUGACAGACACUGUGUGAAAGAACUCCUAAAAUCUUUGGACUCCCCGAAGCGCUCUUACUCUGCUGGUGAGACGGCUGCCAGCUGCUAGGUAGCUUCAGAAAGGGUCUGGGCACAGGAAAGACCAAGGCAAGAGAAGAUUCGAACUAUCAGCCCCACCCUCAACUUCCAGGGAGGGAAGAGAGGAAAGAAUAAGUUGAUCAGCAACAGCCAGUGACUUCAUCAACGCGUCAGUGAAAUGAAGCCUCCUCGAAAACCCUGAAGCAUAGGAUUCAGAGAAUCCCUAGGCUGUGUAACGGGACACCCCUAGAGGGACCUCUCCUGGAGAAGGCAUCGAAGCCCCGUACUGCUUCUCCUGUCCUUUGGCCUGUCUUACUCUCUAUCCAGAGUUCAUCAGUGUCCUUUGUAACGGCCUUUAUAAUAAACUGGCAGACAUGCUCCCCUAAGUCCUGAGAGUCACUGUAGCAAAUGAAUCCCAUGGGAGGAGCGGGCUGUGUGCGCCCUGAUGUAUAGCCAGUUGUCAGAAGCACAACUCACAACCUGGAACUUGCAGAUAGCACUGAAGAAAGCAGUCUUAGGAACGGAGCUCUCAAACUGUGGGGUCAGAUGAAGCAUGCUGUUGAGAGACAGCAGAGAAGAAACGGACUUUGGGUCUGAUUUUUCCUGCAUCUUCAGAAAGGUACUUAUAACAAAAGACUUCUCAUAAAGGACAUGAACUAAAGAAAAAUAAGAAUUGGAAUGCAAUAUGAGAGCAAGAAGCUCAACAGCGCACUGAAAUUGUACUAAGCAAGUUGCCUGCUUUUUCUCUAAUCCCCAAGCAGACAAUGGAGAUCCUAAAGUCAUUCUGUGAUAAGCUUUAACAUCCACCAUAGAAAGAGCCUUUCCCAGCUAAGUAAUUCAUAAACUUUACAAGAAAAAUACAAAGGAAGUGCUGGGAAAGGUGGCUAUUUCUGAGGUCUUCGUAGAAAGAACAAGGUUAUGAAAGGAUAGAAUAAUGGAUUUCUUGUGGGUAUUUUUUAUAAAACCCUCAUGGUCUGGUGACGUUAGAGUUUUGUAUUUUAAUAAAUUCAAUCAUACAA